CUGUGAUAUCGGAGGAAUCUGGGCUAACAACUUGACAUUAGCCUUUUGUCACACACAGUUAUACACGCAGUGCUCAAACUAGGUGUAAACUCACUAGUUUAAUUGACAGUAGUGCUGGAGAACCCCACUCAGGGCUGCCAAGGCAUGGAGUGUUGUUUAAGUGCUCUUUCAUGAGCUAAAAGCCCAGAGUGUAAUUUGUACAUUGUGGGCAUAUCUAAUGACGCACUUGCACUGCACUAGAAGUGGGACACCAGAGACCCAUAAUUUGGGACUGUCCCACUGAAUGAGGGAUGGUUUUGCAGGUGAGUAUCAGUAACUGUCUCUGAGCAUCUAAU
Molecule: non-coding RNA, 335 nt
Organism: Pelobates cultripes (western spadefoot toad)
Lineage: Eukaryota; Metazoa; Chordata; Amphibia; Anura; Pelobatidae
Source: the annotation of a GenBank genome assembly